Long non-coding RNA from Mauremys mutica (yellowpond turtle), 366 nucleotides. RefSeq lists it as uncharacterized. The record is from RefSeq and is a predicted model, not a curated record. The transcript is spliced from 2 exons. NCBI's taxonomy places the organism in Eukaryota, Metazoa, Chordata, Testudines, Geoemydidae.
UAGACCUGCCACUUUUACAAUGAACUGCAUGUCAUACAUAUGGGACCCUGCCAGCACCCUGCAGAAUACCAUAAAUACCUCGGAGCAUCCUGAGACAGCGACCUCUGCCAUAAACAGCGAGCAGGAGGGGGGUGACACAGUGGGGGAUAGUCCAGCUAUGCUGGGACCUGUUUGAGACUCUACUGCAGUCUAGUCAGUCCCACCAGCCGAGCACUGAUGAGCCCAGUGAAGGGGAAGAAACCUGGGCUGCUGCUGUUGCGGCCUUGAGGGGUGCUCCCUCUUCACUUGCAAAACACCUGACCCUGAUGAGGAAGAGAAAGAAGAGGACUAGGGAAGAUAUGUUCAGCGAGAUCAUGCAAGCCAGUG